AAACUAACAAGGAUUCCCCUAGUAACGGCGAGUGAAGUGGGAAAAGCUCAACUUUGAAAUCUGGCACCUUUGGUGUCCGAGUUGUAGUCUCGAGAAAUGUUUUCCGUGCCAGGUUGUGUGUGAGUCUGUUGGAAUACAGCGUCAUAGAGGGUGAGAACCCCGUUCAUAACACAAUCUUCGGUGCUUUGUGAUACAUUUUCGAAGAGUCGAGUUGUUUGGGAAUGCAGCUCAAAAUGGGUGGUAAAUUCCAUCUAAAGCUAAAUAUUGGCGAGAGACCGAUAGCAAACAAGUACCGUGAGGGAAAGAUGAAAAGCACUUUGGAAAGAGAGUUAACAGUACGUGAAAUUGUUGAAAGGGAAACGAUUGAAGUCAGACGUGCGUUGUGCAAUUCAGCUCUGGUUCUCCAGAGUGUACUUUGUACUAUUGCAGGCCAACAUCGGUUUUGCGAGUCGGAUAAAGGUUUGAGGAAUGUAGCAUCUUCGGGUGUGUUAUAGCCUCUUGCUGAAUACGGAUUGCGAGACCGAGGGACGCAGCGCGCCGCAAGGCAAAAGCUUCGGCUUUUUCGCGCUUAGGAUGUUGGUGAAAUGGCUUUAAACGAC
This 599-nucleotide ribosomal RNA is filed under the name Cystobasidiomycetes sp. Its description in RNAcentral is "partial large subunit ribosomal RNA". It matches the Rfam family "Eukaryotic large subunit ribosomal RNA", at positions 62 to 648 of the family's 3401-position model. The record is from RNAcentral. Lineage: Eukaryota; Fungi; Basidiomycota; Cystobasidiomycetes.